Molecule: long non-coding RNA, 1689 nt
Filed under: Numida meleagris (helmeted guineafowl)
Lineage: Eukaryota; Metazoa; Chordata; Aves; Galliformes; Numididae
Description: lncRNA (ENSNMEG00000004180.1)
Source: RNAcentral
UUAAAGGUCAUAGAGCCAUGGGAUGGUUGGGUUGGAAGGGCCCUUAAAGAUCAUAGAGCCGUGGGAUAGUUGGGUUGGAACGGUCCUUAAAGACCAUAGAACUAUGGCAUCGCUGGUUUGGAAGGGUCCUUAAAGAUCACAGAACCACAGGAUGGUUCAGCUGGAAGGGUCCUUAAAGGUCAUAGUACCACGGGAUGUUUGGGUUGGAAGGGUCCUUAAAGGUCAUAGAGCCGUGGGAUGGUUGGGUUGGAAGGGUCCUUAAAGAUCAUAGAGCCGUGGAAUAGUUGGGUUGGAAGGGUCCUUAAAGACUAUAGAACUAUGGCAUCGCUGGUUUGGAAGGGUCCUUAAAGGUCAUAGAGCCAUGGGAUGGUUGGGUUGGAAGGGUCCUUAAAGGUCAUAGUACCAUGGGAUGGUUGGGUUGGAAGGGUCCUUAAAGAUCAUAUAGCCAAAGAGUGGUUGGGACGGAAGGGUCCUUAAAGAUUGAAGAACCACUGAAAGGGUUGGGUUGCUAGGGUCCUUAAAGAUCAAAGAACCACAACACGGGUGCUGGGCUCUGGGUGCCGAUCCGCUUUGUUUCUGGAGGUCACUGCUGCGUUGUAUCCGGCGCGGUGCGUCCCGUCGGCUCCAUCGCGGCGUGGCCAUGCCGCGGCCGUAAUGCGCUUGUUCCUCCUGCAGCCAACAGACACACGGACAUCGGUGACAUCAGCCAGCACCUGGAUACCAUGCAGCUCGGCGAUGUUUUUGGUCACCCGGCGGCACCCGCCGCCGCUUCUCUGCCCUCCCCGGUGCCGGCGGGCUGGUCGUGUCCGAAAUGCACCUACAUCAACAAACCCACGCGGCCCGGCUGCGAGAUGUGCAGCACCGACCGCCCUCCCGACUACGUGGUGCCCGGCGGCUACGAACCGGACGAGAUGGAGCUGUGGAGGAUGCAGCAGGAGCAGGAGGGGAUGCUGCAGUACCAGCAGACGCUGGAGGCGGAGCGGCUGCAGAACUUCCAACAGCUGCUGCAGCUGGAGCAGGAGGGGCUGGUGCCCAACCAGGAGGCGAUGGAGUGCCGCAUCUGCUACCAGCACCUCCCCCCGGGCCAGGGGGUGCUGCUGCGCGAGUGUCUGCACAGCUUCUGCCGGUACGGCGCAUGGGAGGUGCGGGGAGCCCGACCCCGAACCCCCACCCGCGGUGACGGCGCCUCUCCCGCAGGGACUGCUUGCGCCAGGUGAUCAACUACAGCGAGGAGCCGGCGGUGGCGUGCCCCUACCGCGACGACUCCUACGCCUGCAGCAGCCACCUCCAGGAGCGCGAGAUCCGCGCGGUCAGUGCCCAGAGCUCGGCCAGCGGGGCGAGGGAGGGGCUGCUUGGCCAGCGGUUGACCAGUGGUUGACCAGUGGUUGACCGUGAGCCAGCAGUCACCCAACCAUUGGCCAGCAGUUGACCAGUUUGUCACCAAUGGUUGAUCAGUUUGUCACCAAGGGUUGACCAACAGUUGGCCAACAGUUGACCGUGAGCCAGCAGUCACCCAACCGUUGACCAGUGGUUCACCAAUGGUUCACCAGUGGUUGACCAGUGGUUCGACAAUGGUUGACCAACUGUUGGCCAACAGUUGACCAUGAACAAGCAGCCAACCAACCAUUGGCCAGGGGCUGACUAGUGGUUCACCAGUGGUUGACCAGUUUGUUGCCAGCGGUUGACCUA